CCCUUAGAUGUUCUGGGCCGCACGCGCGCUACACUGAUGCAUUCAACGAGCCUAGCCUUGACCGAGAGGUCCGGGUAAUCUUUGAAACUGCAUCGUGAUGGGGCUAGAUUAUUGCAAUUAUUAAUCUUCAACGAGGAAUGCCUAGUAAGCGUGAUUCAUCAAAUCGCGUUGAUUACGUCCCUGCCCUUUGUACACACCGCCCGUCGCUCCUACCGAUUGAGUGUGUUGGUGAGGAGUUUGGAUUGGCCUCGGAAGGUGGUUCGCCACCGUCCGUAGCUGAGAAGUUCUCCAAACUGCCCCACUUAGAGGAAGGAGAAGUCGUAACA
RNAcentral lists this ribosomal RNA (326 nucleotides) under uncultured eukaryote. RNAcentral describes it as "partial 18S ribosomal RNA". It matches the Rfam family "Eukaryotic small subunit ribosomal RNA", at positions 1470 to 1796 of the family's 1831-position model. The record is from RNAcentral.